RNAcentral lists this long non-coding RNA (350 nucleotides) under Pan troglodytes (chimpanzee). Its description in RNAcentral is "long non-coding RNA NONPTRT014338". Lineage: Eukaryota; Metazoa; Chordata; Mammalia; Primates; Hominidae. The record is from RNAcentral.
UUGCUUUUAGUUUCCGUGUUUUGGUGUUUUGUUUGUUCGUUUUUUUUUGUUUUGUUUUUACGACAAUGCCUUCUAGGGGAACAGUGUCGCUGGGCUGGGCGGUGGAGAGACACCUUUGGCACCAUCGUGCGAUCUCAUGCACCCUACCAGUGGAAAAUCCAUUUGGGAUUGCCCAGUGCACACAGUAGACAUGGAAAUUGAUGAUCAGCAUCCCCAGAAAGAUGAAGCAUUGGAAAGCACUGCAUAGCUCCAUGUUAUCAAUCAAUUAAUGUCUUCAGUCCUUUAAUGUCCUCUGGACAGCUGGGAUGCUUGGGAGAAGACUGUUGACAAGUCUUGUACGUGUGGAAGAC